UCCGGGAAUUGGUGAUAGACAGGGAAGCCUGGAGUGCUGCAGUCCAUGGGACUGCAAAGAGUUGGAUAUGACUGAGCAACUGAACUGUUUUACUGAGUGUAACUAUCUCCUAAAAGCCCUGAGCACUUUCAUUUUUGCAUUUUAGGAAUAGGGGUUAAAAUAUCAUCCAUUGCAUGUGGACAUUGUAAAGAUAAUAUGAAGCAAUGUGUGAGGAGUACGCUACUGCAUGUUAGGCUGAGGGACAGGGAGUUAGGAUGCUCCUGAUUCUAAUGAAUUUGUGAAGAAUUGCCAUACCAAGGCCUGGCCUGACCACCUCCAGAUGUCUUCCACUUGAGAGAUAAACCCUCAAGUGUUUAAAUCAUUAUCAUUUUGAAUUCUUUUUUUUUUCCCCCACUGGGAGCCAAAUCCAAUCCUGAUUUGUUUCGUACAGGCAUAACAGCACAUAUUAUUUGAUGAACAUGCUGGAGAGGAAACAUGAAUCUUUGAGUACGGGGUUGGAGAGGAGCAAUCCUAGCAGUUCCCGACCUGUACCUUUCCAAGUUGGUGUCAUAUGAUCACGACCAUCCAUGUUUUUAGUAUCAGGAGCCAUCUUGGAAAAUCACACAGUCCCAGGCAAACCAGGGUGGCUGGCCACCCCAGUAGGCUAACUGGCUUAUAUCUUCUGGUCUGAAGAGGCAGAACAUCAACAUUCAUUUGAUUCUCUUCAGUGAUCACAGGCAGGUAAGAAUGGAAGAAGGGAUCCUGGAGGAGUUUUUAUCUCCCUUUGAUAUCCAUCGGCAGUCCCUCUACCCCAAGCCACUUCAAAUAAACAUGUAUUCUAAGUAAAAACAGCAACUUGCUAAGCAAACCCAGCCUUAAGACAAAUCUCACAGCAUUCUUCUUANNNNNNNNNNNNNNNNNNNNNUCCUACUGUACUUAUUGGUCAAGUUUUUAUUAAGCUAUGUGGUUCUGACAUUUUCCCCCACUUAUAAUCAGCUGUUCUGUUUGUGGAGAUCUUUCCUUGGUGUGUAAUAGAUUUAUUAACAUAGGUGUCUGUGACGUGAUUUAUAGGAAGAAAUACAUAUUUGGUCUUCAUUCCCAUUUCUGGCACAGAGCUCCUAAAACCCUUAGAAUUUCUAGCCACAAAGGUGUCUUUUGUUAGUCAGGUGACUUUUGGAAAGCAACCAAGGGUGGGGCCUGGUUGCCAGGAGAAGCAACAAUGUGAUUAGAGGGUUGAAACUUUCAGUCUCACCUCCAUGAGUUCUAGGGAGGGGAGAGGGGCUGGAGGAAUGAAUUGGCCAAUGCCAGUGAUUUAAUCAAUCAUGCCCAUGUAAUAAAACCAUCAUAAAAACCCAAAAGAAAAAAAAAAACAAACCCAAAAGGACUGGGUUUGGAGAGCUUCUAGGUUGAUGAACAUAUGGAUAUGCUGAGAGAGUAGCGUGCCUGGAGAGGGCAUAGAAACUUUUUGCCCUUUCCCCUUACCUUGUCCCAUGCAUCUCUUCCAUAGCGAUGUUACUGAGUUAUAUCCUUUCAUAAUAAACUGAGUAAAUGGAUUUCCUGAAUUCUGUGAGUCAUUCUAGAAAAUUAAUCAAACUAGGCAGAGAAGGAGGAAUGUGGAGUCUCUGAUUUAUAGUCAGUCGAUCAGGAGUGCAGGUACAAGCCUGAACUUAUACUCAAUCUUAUGGGACUGAGACCUUAACCUAUGGGAUCUGAUGCUAGUUCUGGGUAGAUAUGUUCAGUUCUGAACUGAAUUGCAGAAUACCCAGCUGGCAUUGGAGAAUUUCUUGGUGGUUGGGGAAAAACCCGCAUCUACAGUGAAAUUGGGUACAGAACUUUCAAUGACAGUAUUUAGGGCUAUUCACAAAUAUUCUGGUUCCUCUCUUUCUGAUCACAUGGCCUUUCUCCUGCGUACUGACCAAACCUCCAGAUGUUAGGACUUGCCUUCCGCAUAAUA
Molecule: long non-coding RNA, 1933 nt
Filed under: Capra hircus (goat)
Lineage: Eukaryota; Metazoa; Chordata; Mammalia; Artiodactyla; Bovidae
Description: lncRNA (ENSCHIG00010003942.1)
Source: RNAcentral